ACGCAUGCAGCCAACUCAUCAGCUCUUUGUCGAUCCUCAGCCGCUCGCUUUCAAUCUUCAGCAGUCUAUCUCUGUAUCUCCAUCAGUUGGACAUCACAGGCAACAUGGACUUCAGUCCUAAACAAGCAUGAGAAUGAGGCAGCUCUGAUCCCAUAUCCUAAUCUUCUAACAUAACAGGAUCUCGUACCAAGCACUUGAUCAUAGAUCUCAUCAUUUAUGGGUGUGGUCGAGCCCUCAAGGAU
This 242-nucleotide long non-coding RNA is filed under the name Elaeis guineensis (African oil palm). RNAcentral's name for it is "long non-coding RNA (EGUI_LNC002546)". Lineage: Eukaryota; Viridiplantae; Streptophyta; Magnoliopsida; Arecales; Arecaceae. The record is from RNAcentral.